AGAGGGAUGUCUGACUGCCGGUUCUCCCUAAACUGGCAGUCAGACACCCCCCAAGGGGUCCUGGAUGGUGAGAGAGUGCAAGCUGAGCUGAGGAACCUCCCCCCCACCCCGCAUGAAU
Long non-coding RNA from Myotis brandtii (Brandt's bat), 118 nucleotides. RefSeq lists it as uncharacterized. The transcript is spliced from 3 exons. NCBI's taxonomy places the organism in Eukaryota, Metazoa, Chordata, Mammalia, Chiroptera, Vespertilionidae. The record is from RefSeq and is a predicted model, not a curated record.